Long non-coding RNA from Cryptomeria japonica (Japanese cedar), 932 nucleotides. RefSeq lists it as uncharacterized. Lineage: Eukaryota; Viridiplantae; Streptophyta; Pinopsida; Cupressales; Cupressaceae. The record is from RefSeq and is a predicted model, not a curated record. The transcript is spliced from 2 exons.
GUUAACCUCUUUUAUCAAUCUACCCGCUGUCUGCACGUGGGACCACAAUGACUUGGCAUAUCAAAAGCGUCCUGUGUACUCGUCCAAAAUUAAUAUGUUGCUUUGGAUGCCCAACGGUUCUUUUCCUCAUUUUAGGACCCGUUAAAGAAUCCAAGUUUCUAGAUUUUCUUAUAAUGAAACCAUGUUAAACACAUCAAAUCAUUUCCAUUUCUGUAAUUUGAUUGGAGCGGCAUUCGAAAUUUGAGAUAAGGUGCGAUACGGGAUUCGCUAAAAGAAAGCUCAGUUUCCAAAAAAUAUAUAAAUACAGGACAUUGAUUCACUUUCUGUAGUGACAGGAGAUACAUAUUGAUCCUUUUGGGUUGUUUGAGGAAGUCUGAAAUUUCAAACACUAAUACAAUACAUUUCUACAAUUUUUAGAAGAGACAAGAGUGAACAAUCCUAAACAACAUAGUUUUAUCGAUUGCACAGCUAUUUCGAUCUGAUGGCAUUUACUUUGGUCAUAUCCAUACCAUUCAUCAUUCUAGCUAUUAUUAUGUGUGUGUGCUGCUACUUCCUAGGUAAAGCAAGGGGUCGCCAGGACAUUCGCACUCAACCACAAGUAUUUGGUGUGCCAGCUGCUCCUCCUAGUGUUAUGCCUCCAGGUCCUUCACCUCCUGGUUCUCCUAAGCAUGACAAAUCAAUGAAUGUCUGAGACAUCUAUCGUACAAAAUAAGUAUAGAUUUUAUUUAUUCAUUGGUCUGGUAUUAUUUUUUUCUAUUCUUUGUUUAGUAGGUUCAAUACCUCAACUUAAAGGAAGAAGAAUAUAUUGUAACUUAUUUUUCUUGAGACUAGUUAGAAGAAUUUUCCACUGUAUAAAUGCGAUCAUGUUUGUAUUAAUUAGUAUGAUGUAAAAACUCGCAUUGGCCUCUAUAUAUAAAUAUCUGGUUCAUAUA